This is a long non-coding RNA of Anthonomus grandis grandis, 428 nucleotides long. RefSeq lists it as uncharacterized. Lineage: Eukaryota; Metazoa; Arthropoda; Insecta; Coleoptera; Curculionidae. The record is from RefSeq and is a predicted model, not a curated record. The transcript is spliced from 3 exons.
GAAGCGACCAAGAUCCAGGAUGUUGAUGAUGAAAAUAAAAAAUUAGCCGGAAAACAGAACAAGAAGUUAAAAUUGGCUGUUAAAGAAGGGGAAUCAGAAAAGUUUAUUGAUGGAGUUCGAGAAAAUAAAGUUGUUAAAAAAGAAAUAGACGUGGAAACGAAGAAGCCUGACAAAACAAGCAGUAAAACUUUUAAUAUUGGAGACUUUGUGGUUAUAAGUUACCAAAAGAAGAGGUAUCCAGGUUUAAUAAAAAAUAUAGAGCAGGGUGCUCAAGAAUAUGAGAUCAGCGUUAUGGAAAAGAUAAAACCAAAUUUUUGGAGAUGGCCCAAAAAUGUGGACCAAAUUUGGUAUAAGAGAAAAUUUGUUUUAGAAAAAAUUUCAGAGCCAAUAUCAUCCAAAGGCAGUAUAUAUAAUUUCAAUAUUUGAUA